GCUUCCCAGGGUUGGUUGCUGAGAUUGCAGUUCUAGGAGACUUUUUUUGGCCUCUGCUUUUUUUUUUUCCCUAGAUUUAUAUGUGGUGCUGAGAAUCAAACCCAGUGCCUCACACAUGACAGGCAGGUGCACUGUGGCUGAGUCACAGCCCCAUUAAGUUCUUUUUAUUUGAGACAGGGUCUCACUAAGUUGCACAGACUGACUUUGAACUUAGAUCCUCCUGCCUCAGCCUCUCAACUCCUUGGAUUAUAGGCAUGAACCACCACUCCUGGUUUAUCUUUCACAUUUAAAAAAAUUUUUUUUUCUUUUUAGUCGGACACAAUACCUUUAUUUUUAUGUGGUGCUGAGGAUCCAACCCAGGGCCUCACAUGUGCUAGGCAAGCACUCUACCGCUGAGCUACAACCCCAGCCCCUAUCUUUCACAGUUUUAAAGAAGGCACUUUAAAACACUUCUAACUGGAGUCUAACUGGUAUGACACAUGUACCACUUUCCACUUUACUGUUAAUCUGAUAAGGUUACCUUCUAUGUUUAGUGUUUACAGAUGAAGAAACUUUUAAGCCAUUUCUGAUGUCUGUCAAUAAGGAGUAAGUGAACAUAGUCAGCUUUCGUAUUUGAUGUUUUGACAUGAUUUUAAAAAAGAACUUUUUUAGAGAGUUGGGUGUGGUGGUACCUGCAUUUAAUUCCAGCUGGGAGGCUGAGGCAGGAGGAUCACAAGUUCAAUGCCAGCCUCAGCAGUUUAAGGCCCUAUGCAACUUGGUGAGACCCUGUCUCAAAAUAAAGGGCUGAGGAUGUGACUCAGUGGUUAAGUGAGUUUGGGUCAAUCCCUGGUAAUAAAAACAAGCUAAACCAAACUUUUUUUUGGUUUAAGUCUCCUACUUCACUGGAAAUGAUUCUGUGUUGAAAAUUUGGUGUGAAUUCUUCCAGGACACCAUCUAGUGGUAAAGGGCUGGUAGCUGCAAGCCCCUUAGUGAGUAGGAUGGAUCAGUGGCAAAAUUGAACCAAUGCUGAUUUCAGAGGGAACUUGACCCUAAACAAACUGAGAUUGAGAAGAAAAGUGAAACUGGUCAAAUGAAGGUAAUAAAAUGAUGAUGUAGGAAUGGAAAGACAAGGGUCAAGCUACCUGGAGAGAGUGACACUGGGUAGGUCAGCCAGUAAGAUUGGACAUUUGCUUUGUUUUUGGUACUGGGGAUUGAAUCCUGGGGUGCUUUAUUACUGAGCUACAAUUCCCAGCCUUUUUUUGAAAUAAGGUUUCCCUAAAUAGCUGAGGUUGGCCAGGAUCUUGUGAUUCUCCUGCUUCAGCCUCCCAGAAAUCCUUGGGAGUAUAGAUGUAUGCCACUGCACAUACUUUAUUGUAUAGGAGAUUGAAUCCAGGGGCUCAUAUCCAUUGAGCCUACAUCUCCAACUCUUUUAUUUUUUUAUUUUAAAACAGGUUCUUGCUAAGUUACUGAGGCUGGCUUCAAACUUGGGAUCCACUUGCUCCAGCCUCCCCAGUAGUUGGGAUUACAGGUUG
Molecule: long non-coding RNA, 1511 nt
Filed under: Marmota monax (woodchuck)
Lineage: Eukaryota; Metazoa; Chordata; Mammalia; Rodentia; Sciuridae
Source: RNAcentral